AUAAUAAUUUGUCUUUUAAUUAAAGGCUGGAAUGAAUGAUUGGACGAGGUAUAAUCUGUCUCUAUUUUAUUAAAUAUUGAAUUUAAUUUUUAAGUUAAAAAGCUUAAAUAAAUUUAAAGGACGAGAAGACCCUAUAGAGUUUAAUUAUAAAUAAUAUAUUUUAUUUUUAUUAAUUUUUAAUAUAAUAUUUAUAAUUUUAUUGGGGCGAUAGAAAAAUUUAUUAAACUUUUUUAUUAUUUUUUACAUUUAUUAAUGAUUUAUUGAUCCUAAAUUUUAGAUUGAUAGUUUAAAUUACCUUAGGGAUAACAGCGUUAUUUUUUUUAGAGUUCUUAUUGAUAAAAAAGAUUGC
RNAcentral lists this ribosomal RNA (349 nucleotides) under Nematus sp. Sus7. RNAcentral's name for it is "partial 16S ribosomal RNA". The record is from RNAcentral. Lineage: Eukaryota; Metazoa; Arthropoda; Insecta; Hymenoptera; Tenthredinidae.